GGUCCCUGAGGAAGCUCGAGAACUUGAAAGGCAACUCGGACAGGUCAGUAAGGAGAAGAAUGAAGCUGUAAGAGGCCAAGACUUUGAGAAGGCUCGUUCUCACCGUCACCGACAAAUAUAGGUUAGAGCCGAGAUAGCUGCUGUUUUAGCGACAGGCAAAGAAGUGAACAAAGCUGAGACCGAAGCUGGCCAAGAAGGAGGAAGUCGUGAAAGCCAUUAGCAGAGCCAUCAGACGUCCACAUGUUGGUCUCAACUUUUGCGAACCGCCCCAUAGCAAGUUUCAUCUUCUCAGAGGAAGCAAUUACCCGUCUCGACGUGAGUGAGUUCAUGGAACGUCACAAUAUUUUAAAAGGUCAAUAAAGUUACACGGAAGGUGGUCAGCUCGGGAGGGCUCUUUGGACGUUUCUGCACAGUCUUGCUGCGCAGGUUGCCCUCUGUUCAGUAAUUUACAGUGAUAUAGAGACCACAUCAGAAGUUUCUUUAUUGUCAUCUGUAUCCAGAAAGACAAAACAGGGAGCAAAAGAAGGAUGUUUAAGAACUGAUGGAGAUACCUUGUAGAGAAUAUGCGCUCAUCACUUCGAACUUCCUCCUGGGAUGAAUCUCAGGAGGAGUUCUCACAGUGGCUUUGCCAUGUACACAACACCGUAAAUAGCAGGUUUAUGGAGGUGGAGUAACCGAAGUACCAGUAACCAAUCUAGAGAAAAACACAACAACUUACGGAACAAAGCACUUCUAAUACGUGUCAAAUCCGAUUUUAUCAUCCUCUCUUUUCCGGUUCACCAUUUGAGAGAGACGAUGUAGAAGUGAUGCUUCUGUGACGGAAAGACUGAGCAAAAGGGGGAAGGAUGAGAUUGAUUUUUACCUGAUUUUUUUGGAGGUAAUGAUUUAUUUUCGGGUAGUAAUUAUUGAUUGACAAUAUAUGGUUAGCUAAAAUUUAGGAAAGUAGUUAAUAUU
Molecule: long non-coding RNA, 954 nt
Organism: Raphanus sativus (radish)
Lineage: Eukaryota; Viridiplantae; Streptophyta; Magnoliopsida; Brassicales; Brassicaceae
Exons: 7
Source: RefSeq, a predicted model, not a curated record